Molecule: long non-coding RNA, 427 nt
Organism: Ixodes scapularis (black-legged tick)
Lineage: Eukaryota; Metazoa; Arthropoda; Arachnida; Ixodida; Ixodidae
Exons: 3
Source: RefSeq, a predicted model, not a curated record
GUGCUUGUGGUGUGGCGGAGCGUUAUCCCGAUCGUCUUGAUACCAAGGAAAUCGGGUUAGGUCAAGACAUGGUGCACCGGCGGUAAACGGGAGGCUCCAGGACACUGUGAAAGGCUCUGCACUUGGAAUGGUCAACGGGGACUGUCUUGUGUCAAGGACAUCUGCCUGAAAGCAUUGGGUGUUUGAUAUGCCGAGGAGAAUCUGGCUGAAGAAAAUAUAUGGCCCUCUCAAGUGGAUUCAGCUCGUCCGACAAGGACCGUGUCAUCGCCUGGAUUCCAAGGCAGACCACCACGUGCUGCUUCACUAUUGGAAACCAUCGGGUACACUAGCGACACCGGAUCAUCAAUCCUUCAAAAAGGCCUGCCCACGUCCAGUCAAGCGGGAUUUGUGGUCAAGUGUUGAACUCUACCUCUGAACAUCAUUCCGU